GCCGUAACUAGGGUUCGAAUUCAGGGGAGGCAGGGGUUUGGGGGCGGCCGAUUGAGGCCCUGAAGAAAGGGGUUUGGGGGCGCAGCCCCGCCGAUUUUUUCUCGCAGUAAAAUGGCUAAAAAUGACCAGUUUUCCUUCGAUUUACUUACUUUAAGAAACAUCAGUAUUGCUUGAACCUGGAAGCAAUUUUUAUGCAAAAACAAACUGAACUGAGAUUGCUGUUCGGGGUGAGCCAAGGCUCCGUCUUGAAGGCCGUACUUUGACCUAUAAUUAUUAACAUUAAAUACAUUGUGACCGCGGAUUUUGUUCUCAAUAUGGCUAAAAAUCACGUGUUUUCCUUCGAUUUCCUUACUUUCAGAAACAUAAGUAUUGCUGGAUCCUUGAAGCAAUUUUUAUACAAACAAUUAGUAUCUGUAUUUAAAGAUAUUUUUGUUAGAAAUCAAACUGGUAAGUUAAAAAAAAAAAACCUAUAAAGCAAGAUCAUAGAAAGCAAGAUAUUGUUUUUUGUCGAGGACCUUGAAUUUCAAUAUUGUUGAAAGCUGAACAGACAUGUAUAUAACUACAACCAGGGACUUUCUAAACUGGUAUAUACUUAGUUUAGAAAGUCUUCGCUUCAACGAAUGGGAGUGUUUAACUACUAUUACAUUGACCAUGAUUUUCUCGUACGAUCGGCCGGGAGACGUUUAAAAAUGACCCAACAGCUGAUUCAGCCGGUAACGAAUUUCCGAUAUCAUAAAAGAUUCACAAUACAAAGGGAACUUCCCCUGCUUAAUGGAGCCCCUUAAUAAAUGUGAAUAGUUAAGUUUUAUUCAAAAUUGUCAAAAGCAAAAUUUCAUAUGUGUUCUCGUACGAAUACUGAAUAACAGACGGACGGCCACACGAAAAAAAAUAAUAUUGAAACGGUUCACUUUCGAUAAAAAAUCUGGAAAAUGACAGGUAUAUCACGCAUCAUGAUAACACUGUUAAAACUAUAAACUUGUGUUGUUUAUAAUAUAAAUUCAAGUUCUUCGUGUACAUAUUGUCAAUAUUUCAUUUUAUAACUUCUAAAAAAAAAAUGUUGAUGUAGAAAAUUCAGGAGGAGGCAGUUGCCUCCCCUGCCUCAUAGGUAGUUACGGC
RNAcentral lists this long non-coding RNA (1116 nucleotides) under Mytilus galloprovincialis (Mediterranean mussel). The record is from RNAcentral. Lineage: Eukaryota; Metazoa; Mollusca; Bivalvia; Mytilida; Mytilidae.